AAAUACGAGUAAAUAAAUAAUUAGGUCACUGAAUCUCAUAGUAGAAUCGUGGGACUCGAGAUGAUAACCAGAGGGAUUUUUCAACAAUUAUGUACCCGCGAGAGAAUAAUGUUAAUAAUAUUAUGGUAGGUACUUCGUCUGAUUUUAAGAGGUCCGUUUUUUUUGGUUUAUGCUUUUAGAUGCAUAGAAGACAUUUUCUAUUAGGUAUUUUUUAUUUGU
This is a non-coding RNA of Cinara cedri, 219 nucleotides long. NCBI's taxonomy places the organism in Eukaryota, Metazoa, Arthropoda, Insecta, Hemiptera, Aphididae. The record is from the annotation of a GenBank genome assembly.